RNAcentral lists this ribosomal RNA (431 nucleotides) under uncultured bacterium. RNAcentral describes it as "partial 16S ribosomal RNA". It matches the Rfam family "Bacterial small subunit ribosomal RNA", at positions 338 to 795 of the family's 1533-position model. The record is from RNAcentral.
CCUACGGGAGGCAGCAGUUAGGAAUAUUGGACAAUGGGGGAAACCCUGAUCCAGCCAUGCCGCGUGUGUGAAGAAGGCCUUAGGGUUGUAAAGCACUUUCAGCCGUGAAGCAGUAGCGGAAGAAGAAGCUCCGGCUAAAUUCGUGCCAGCAGCCGCGGUAAUACGAAUGGAGCGAGCGUUGUUCGGAAUCACUGGGCGUAAAGGGUGCGCAGGCGGUCAUGAAAGUUAGAAGUGAAAUCCCAGGGCUUAACCCUGGAAUGGCUUUUAAAACUCCAUGACUUGAGUAUUGGAGAGGUUGGCGGAAUUCCGAGUGUAGAGGUGAAAUUCGCAGAUAUUCGGAGGAACACCAAUGGCGUAGGCAGCCAACUGGCAUUACUGACGCUCAUGCACGAAAGCGUGGGGAUCAAACAGGAUUAGAUACCCUUGUAGUC